Betta splendens (Siamese fighting fish) is the source of this 8307-nucleotide long non-coding RNA. RefSeq lists it as uncharacterized. NCBI's taxonomy places the organism in Eukaryota, Metazoa, Chordata, Actinopteri, Anabantiformes, Osphronemidae. The record is from RefSeq and is a predicted model, not a curated record. The transcript is spliced from 9 exons.
AGAUUAGCCGACGUCAUGAAGUGGGCGGGGCCAACGUGGAGACUCUCGUGGCGGUAAAUUAUGCAAAUAAACAAUACUGUAAUCAACACGGACAACACAAAAUGGCUCUUAAAAGCGUCCCCAUCAAGCAUAGAUCAACAUCAGUCCCAAGCAAAAGCUGUAGCAGAUGCGUUGGAGCUAACGUUAGCAUCCCGGAGGACACAGGUGCAGCUAACGGACGCCAGGAAACUUCGGUACCGAUGGACCCGUGAAAGUCUGGUUUCUAUCCCUCGCGCCGUUUUGGUUCAAACUAAGUCAUUCAUUUCUGAAAGACGCCACAAAGAGAAACUUGACUAUUUGGAAACGUUAAUGUGGGCCUCGCUGACGUCGGGACAACAUGGCGGCUGUGACGCUCUCUCGACCGUUGGCUGGAGAUGAAGAUGGAACUGGAGAAGAUGCAGUGACGUCUAAUGGUGAGACUUCCAUCAGUCACCUUGGCCACGCCCCCUCUGAUGUACAUAUUAGGAGGAAACGUGCUGAGCGUGACGUGGAACCUGUGGGUACUACGGUAACGCUGCCUCCCCCUGUCAGCACCACUGCGGCCUGUGCAACCUCUGAGACUGUGCUACGGAAGUGUUAAAGCAAACACAACCUUGAUGCUGAAGUUGCAAACUGUAAACACUCAGCACGAGUCAGAGACCCUCCUCGUCUGUGUGACCCAGAAACUCUUGGUGCUUUCAUCUUGCCAGCUGGCUCUAUUCUACAGCAUCAAAUGACAACAAAACACAUCCCCAGGCACUUUCCAUAACAAGCUCAAGACCAAACAACUCCAGCGAGAAACCAACAAACCCUGUGUCUCCUUUCAUUUACUUGGCUCCCGCUUCCUUUGAGUCGGCUCUUGAUGGGAGACAAGCAGUACAAAGGGAGGGAACGGAAAUGAGCAGUGGGAAAGACAAAUUCAAUCAACACUACAUCUGUCAGCACGCGUGGGAGCGCUUGAUGAUCCCCUAGGAUGAGAUGAAGGAGGCUGCAGGGAGAAGCGCACAGUUCAGGCUGGUGUGUGUCCACAGCUCCCUGAUCCGAGUGAAUGAGCAGCCGCUGGAGGGAGAGGGGCGCUCCAGCAGAGGGCGCUGUCCGCCUGCACAAACACAGUCACAAAGACAAACAAGCCCAACAUGACUCCUUGGUAGCUUUGCUUUAAUAUGAAUGCAUUAUGUUGUGUUCAGAGAGAUACUUUUUAAUACACACGGUAGUAAAACGUCAGCAGCAGCAGAGAAUGAACCACCUUUAAAGGCACAAGGUGGAGGUGGAGAACGCUCCGCAUUCACCCCUCCCAUUCUUCACACAUCUCAAAAUCUAAAAGUUUCCCAUUUGGACACUUUCAAGUCAAUGUCAUCCCCGCAGCUACGAAUUUCACACUUCCGGCUGCAGGAAGUGAGCUUUUGAAGUGGAGAUGAUUCGCUUGCUCGUUUAGCUGCUUCUCCUUUGGAUUCAAGCGCAGCUCGUUGGAGAGCACAGUUAAUGGCUCAUCCGCAGAAGAGAAACAGUAGCUCCCCGGCAGUCGGUGUCAGAGAGUGGACUGGUCUUUGACUCACAGUCGCCCGUUGGACAAAGAGGAGCCGACGGCACAGGAGCGUGUGAUUCUCUGUGCUGCGGUGCUGCAGGUGCCGAAGUGCUGCUUUCAGCCUGGAAGGAGCAUGUAAAGCGGGCGCACGCAACUGAAAAGGCCAAAGUGGACAGUAAAUACAAAUCUGUGGCCGAACGGAAAAGGACAAAUGUCAGGGCACCACAAAACACAGCAGGGAGGCUGCACACGAGAGUGUACGCUAUUUCCUACAGGUUCCUGCAGCUGCUGUCAAACCACAUAUUUAAUGGAUCUGACUCCAUGCAAACCCGAAGUGGCUGACCUCAUUCUGCAGGAUUGAUGCAUUGUGGGACCUUGUGAUCAGAAGACGCCGCUGGGGGAGAAACAGGAGCGAAGGAGGAACCGCUGGUCAUUGAGAUGGAGAUGAGAAGGAAGUGGACCUGCCUACACACGCACGCAAACGAUGGCGUGCGGCACUUUGUCAUCCGUGUCCAGCUGGAGCGGAUGCGAGCGGCGGGCCGGCGAGUGAAGCGCUCCACCGCUGUCUGGCAGGAACAUGACGAGGCUCUCAGCCUUUGUUCCAUCAGAAGCCCUGUUACACACCGGAGUACUACACAGUACACGGCUUUUUAAGAUUAUGAUGUCAGGGCAUUGUGGGACUGCUCUCUGUAAAAAAACAAAACAAAGCCGUGCACAUUAUGCAAUACUUUUGUGUUACUGUAAUAGUAUUAUGCGAGAGGAAGCACUAUAAAUCUUUGAUCCCCUGAAUAUCUGAUGAAAAAUACUCCAACAGAUGAUUUAAUCACACGCACAAUACACCGUCUGCACUUGUGUUGUGUAUUUGCAGGCCAGUAGAGGUUCUAAGUAACAACACAAAAAGACACACAAGCUUCUAAAGCAGCCUGUCCGUCAGAGCUAUGCUGAAAUGAGGAGGAUCUCAUAGGGAGGAGGACGGAGGACAGGGAGCAGCGGAGGAAUUUGAGAAAAUGUGUAAGCGCUGGAAAACAUCUGGGGACACAAGGAAUCUAACAGCUGACAGCCCGAAAACACACCACCUAUGUUAUCUGCGGCCUCCCCCGAGAUGGUGGGGGAGAGAGGAGAGAUGAUGGGCCCAUUAUCAGCAAUCACAGAUGACACCUCUCGCCCUCCGCGAGGAUUCUACGGCAGGCAGCGUUUUCCUCACAGGGCUCCGCAAUCAUCACCGCUCCCCGAGGGCCGACGUAAUCCUCAGACAAUAAGGCUUAAUUUCACAUAUCGCUCGCCCAACCGUUGGGCGUCCACAAUUAUAAUCACCCAUCAUAUGCGCUCACACCUGUAUUUAGCCGUUCCGAUUAUAUUCAUUAUAUUUCAUUAAUGCAGCAAAUAGAAUGUAUGAAAACAUUUCCCCCGCGCUCUCGCACAUUUCUGAGCUGUGGCUGUUUUUCCAUCACACGCUGUGACACCGUGUGUUAUUAGGGCUGCUUUCGUGCAGAUACUGUGUGUUUGGAGUGCAUUAAAUUUUCAAGUGUCCACAGCGUGACUCCACCAAACUGCAUUGACUUAACACUUUUCCCCUGACCUCUGGCAUAUCCCCCUUGACUCCCUGGACUGAUAUUGAAUGGAGCGGAGCUCUAUUCCUUUUACCUUCAGCAACUUCCUGUUGCGGUUUUGUGAGUUCAAUUUUCCAGCCCCAUUGAAAAGAGUGUCCCUAUUGUAUUAUUUUUGAGUGUAUUUGUAAGAGCUAAUCCAGGACGUGACGCAUGGGUUAGAUCCAUAUUGAUGUGAUAUUAGAAGGUACAGGCUAUAGAACCUGACACUUAACGCACCUACUGCUUGACUUUAUGUCUAAAAUCAUUUCUAAACGCAUCCUUUUAUACCGUGUCCACACUUUAUCAUGUAGAUGCUCUUGCUGUGUGUUUGUAUUUGAAAUAUCAGCCCAGGGUUUUGCUGCAUCGCUCUGCUGCUGUUUCCACCGUAGGAAAUAUUAAAUUUAUAUACUGUAGUUUUUUUCUAAUUUCACAGUGCCCAUGAAUCCACGCUCUCAAGAUCGUAUAUUUUUUAUACCAAGGACCAAUCAAUAGACACUCAUCCAAUGAUAGAGGCCCGUUUAGGCCUUGGCUGAAGCUCUUCUUUGUCACUUUAAUUGGAAACGAAGUAAAAAUAACCUGUUAAUGUCAUUUUGUGUGAGACCUCUUGGAAUCGAUUCAAGAGCCUCUGACGUGUGUGAACCUUGGGGAGAGAUUUGUGACAAGUGCUGCUUUGCCAGUUGCUGUGGCGCCACCUGUUGGUGAAGUGUAGAUAAAGCUGUGCUUACUGAAACCACACAACAAAGGAAACGCAAUAAAAAAGGGAUGAACGCAAUAGAAAUUGCAUGGAAUGUGGAGUGUAGAGCAUUCAGUUCUGUGCACACUAACAAAACUUGAUCUUCAGAUCAAGCAGAGAAUAACAUUUUAUAUUUUACACCCAUGUGUUGAAUGUGUUUGUGACAAAGGCGUGGUUGCAGUAAAUAGUUUGGUGCCGUGUCUGUUUUCUUAGGUUUGUUAAAUACAGAAGGCAAAAUAUUUAGAAUCACUUGAUUACAGUGAUUAAUCUGAUGAAAUGGAUUUCUUGCUGCUUUACCUCAUUAACAGCUGAGGUGUGACCUCAACCCUCAAACAGAGGCUAUGACGGUCUCAGGUGUAUUUUACUCAGAAGCUCAUUGAAUGGAACGUCAUCAAUAUUUACCGUUGGACAAAAAAGCAAAAACAAGAAACACAUAGAUCAACAAACAAAACAAAUCCAAGAAGAAAGCAUGUAGUUUCAUUUUGAGCCUCAUGGGGUCGCUGCUGUCUAACAAAAGAAAAGCGCGAGGUCGCCUUCACCAUUGUUCUAUUUGCUCCCCCUCUCCUGCCACUCAGGUGGGAGGAGGACGCCAACGAGCAAUUCCAAAAGUUGUGUGCGAUACCACACGGAAUCUAAAGAACAGUCACGUGACGAGAGCGGGAAAGCGUCGACGCUCUGACUCGGAGGUUUUAGGUCGCGGCAGCACGACGCACAGGGCGCGAGCGCGUUCCUCCCCGUUAGUCACAUCCCGGCGGCGGCGCCCGGUGAAAUACGCUCCGGUAAUUUGAUAAUGAGUUCCGUUCUGUCACACAGAUUUCAGAGGGCUCGGCGUUUAAAUAUUUAACACCGCGGCAGGAGGCGUAAAACAUUCUUUUUUUUUUUUGCCUCACUUUGUUAAAAACACACUGGAAGCCAUCAUUUGAAAAAGGCUACAAGCCCUGGCUGUAAAAAUCAAAGAGCUGUCUGCCAGAGCAGCUAUUUACUGCCUCCUCCACGCGGCCUGCAGCUGAUGGGAGCGAGAUAAAGUCUUGACAUGUUCACUAAGGUCAAUUGCUGUGUGGUGUCUGUCUGUACCCAGAUGCCAGGAGGGCUCCCUGCCCUCUUAAUUAAAUACUGCACUCCCAUCUCACACUCCUCAGCAAACUAAAGACAUCCUCUCUCCUCCCGACGAAUCCAACGCUAACGAACAAGCAAACAAGCGGACAAUCGCAACUUGUGCCGCGAACCCUCGGCGGGUUUUGAGAAACCACCUCGCUAAUCUGAUGCGGAGGGGUCUCUGCGGGUUCCGGCGUCGACUCCGGUGGCUCGAGAGCCAAAGUAAUUGGCCCGGUCGGAGAGGUCGUUGUGGAACAUAAUGGAAAAGUAGCCGCGGAGGGAGUGGAACUUACAUUUAACCAAGCUGGAGCGCGGAAAUGACAGGAAGAGAAGGAAUUCCUCAGCUUUAGGAUUGAUUCAAUCAGAGGCACAGCACUGUGAAUAAUUACCAUCACCUACAUGUGUGACAAUCAAAAGCUGACAUUUUUAUUCUUUUUUUUAAGGUAAUUGUUUUAAAAUUAAACCCAAUCUAACAGGGAGCUACUUUGAUUGUGGAGUGUUGCUACUUUGCCUGCUCCUCCCUCCAGAAACAGGUUGUUACAGAAUUCCCCACAGAGACGAGACAAACAGUGGAUUGUAAAAGUGUGGCAGCCGAGCACUUGAGCUUUAUUUAGCUGUGCGCCUUUAAUUCACGGGGGGAUUGGGUGCAACAUUGAUUGUUCACAAGCAUGGCAUUAAAAAAAAUGGAGGCCUGUAUGAUGUUGCCACGGUAACGCACAUUGUGCCUUUAAUGACAGCCUCUGCUCACAUCAUCCUGGUGAUCAUUUACAGCCAUUAGUCGAAUCCAACUUCCACCGCUCCGAUUCUCCAUUAACUAAGACGUGUCGUGUUUUGUCGUUCGCGGGCUCCACGUGUUAAUUAGCCCACGCCGCGCGCGCCCGCGUCGCCGCGUCACGUUGCCGGACGCCCUUUGCGCGUGCACGCGUCUCCCCGUUCUGUCCCCGUUCCGCACCAGCGGCGAUCGUUCAGCUGACCAUCAUCUCUCCGCCCGCUCCCGUGCGGAUUCAGUCAUAAAGCGGGGAAGCGCGCUGGCGGAGCGGCAUGAGUAUUUCUAUCACGUUUAUCAGACCAUCCACCAUCCAAACAGUUAUGGAGUUGCUUUCAUUUUCAGCUCAUAUUUGUACAGCCUUAGGCAGUAACCCCGAGUAAUACCUAGUGGCAGGCAGGACUCAGAUAGUUGUACAUCACUGACGCAUUAAUGUCUCCACUCAAUUAAGGUGAGAGAGCGUAUUUGUGAAAUGUUAUUCCACUUAAUAGCUGGGGUUUCUUGCUGCCAUUCACAAUCAGCGCCUCGUCUGGAUACGCGUGCAUGGAGACGGGAACAUAUGCCGGCGACUUCACCCGGCCUAAUGCGGCUGCAUGCGUCGAGCGUGCACGCGCCGCGUGCUCGUGCUCGGGGGGGAGGGGCUGAGAUAAUUACCCGCAUCUGCGCGAGAGGACGUGCAGCCGUUAAUGCAACUGAAGAUCCUCCUAAAAUAGAGACACAUUAUCACCUAUUAAACGGUUUGGAAAGUGAUAGCAAUGCUUUUGACGCGCGCACACACAGCCCCCCGUCUGUUCAUCUCGGCGCUGAACUCCGCAGACUGGAUCGACGAUCACCUUGCGCCAUCUGCGCAUGUUUGCGCGGCCUCUCGCGAACCUCCCUCGGUAAACGACGCCGCUGUUGGGAGGAUUCAACGAGCGCUGCGAGUUCGGGGAGAAUCUUUGAAAGUUUAAUUUUGGCCUCAGCGCUCCUUUGCUCAAAGAAGAGGUUUGUAUAUCGUUUAAGCUCCUGGAAGUGACACGCGCUACACGGCUCCUUCCUUUAAACAAUGUUCUUUUUUAAGUUUAUUUUGACCCAGUGGAAUUUCAAAGAGAGACCGCACCAGCUGUGGGCAACCUCACAGGUCCCCGAGUACUUAAAAGGACCACGAAUUCAUAUAUUUGGGGAUUGUUUUGGGGCCUUGGAUUUUACAAAAACUUCAAAGUAUAAUGGGAUAAUUAUUGCACUUACCACCAGAGGGAAGGAGCGGUGGAGAGAGGGAAGCGCUCACUGAGACAGACAGGGGCUGGGAGGGAGAGAGGGAGUAAUGAGCGUUCAAAAUAGACAAUAAAUGUAAUAGCGUGCAAAUUGAAUGGAAAUAUGCUUUCACAGGCACGCAAAAUCUGUCAUUAUUAUUAUCAACUUUGAUGCCGCCGUCCUGUCCCCUUUAUUCAUUUAUUUAAUGGGAUUUCUUUUACACUAUUAGAGUUUGAAGGCUUCUUUCGCCGUCCAGGCAGCAGGCAAACAGCUGGCGCGAGCGCGGCGCUGAUAGCGUUGCAAUCGAUUUCUGCGAAAUGUCAGGAAACGCGCGGGUCCAGUGCCAUUUAAUGCGCGGCAGAUGAGAGCUGAAGGUAAGGGUUUGUGUUAUCACUCAUGUGUCACAGAAUGUGCAGAAUGACAGGGUGGCGCCCGGGGUUUAAUUGGCGCUAACGCCGGCGCCGCAGUCUCCUAGGCGAUGGCCAGUCAAUGCGAGUCAAGAGCGGCACUCAGCGCUUUGAAGGGAAGCGGUUAUAUUUACUUACCGAGAUGGAUUUGGGGGAGAACUCUUCUAAAGCCUCACGACAGUCUGGAGAGUGGUGGGAAGUUAGGAGUUCAAAAGGAAUAAAAACAGAAAACAAUAACGUGAGCACACACAAAUCACGACCAGUCAACACCGGGCUCCUCCUGAGCAGCACAAAUCCACAGCUGAUAAAAUCUGAUUUUCACCACUAAUAAAACGGAGCCUGUGAUCGAUAUCUCGACCGAGGAGCCGGCGCAACUGAACAAACACGAUUAUGCAAAGCAGCCUCGGCGUCUAUUAGUUAUCGUACAUGUGAUCACGUUAUCGCACGGCCGCGACAACGGGGCUGGUGGAGCCGUGCACAAAUACAGACAUGGAUGUUUGAGAGAAACAAGACCUGGCGAUUGAUUUAAAACAUCUGAGUUGACAAAAAACCAUUAAUACUAAUUAGUGCAGUAAUUGACCGGGAGGGGACAGGCGGCCCUAAUCAACCUGCCCGCUUUAAGGUUUAAGGACGUGAGGAGAUUAUUCUUUUGGAUCUCCUAAAUGGGUUUGCAGGGGGAGAGACAUUAAUCACGGGCGCCCUCUGGUCAGGAAAUAGCUCCAUAGAAAAUAUCCACAACCUUCUCAUUUCAGCACAAAGAUUUCUGGGACGGCUGUAAAGCCCCGGCGUCAUGAAUGGCUGGCCCCGCUCCAGGCCCAUUAAUGAUGUGAUGACUGAACCCUCAUUCACAGAAUACCACACUCAAAACGUCAUAUGAGGUUUGUUGGACCGAGGCGUGUUAACGUUUGGACUUCCCCCCGACACGUUGGUGUAUGAUGAGG